Molecule: RNase P RNA, 450 nt
Filed under: Giesbergeria sp.
Lineage: Bacteria; Pseudomonadati; Pseudomonadota; Betaproteobacteria; Burkholderiales; Comamonadaceae
Description: RNase P RNA component class A
Rfam family: Bacterial RNase P class A
About the family: Ribonuclease P (RNase P) is a ubiquitous endoribonuclease, found in archaea, bacteria and eukarya as well as chloroplasts and mitochondria. Its best characterised activity is the generation of mature 5'-ends of tRNAs by cleaving the 5'-leader elements of precursor-tRNAs. Cellular RNase Ps are ribonucleoproteins.
Source: RNAcentral
GAAGCACGCCAGACCGCCGCUGGUGCCGUAUGGGAAACCUGGCACUGGAGGAACGUCCGGACUGCACAGGACAGCGCAGCAGCUAACGGCUGCCCACCGUGAGGUGAGGAUCAGAGCAACAGAGACGAGUCGGGAAAGGUUCCGCAGCUGUGGGUGUUCUAUGGGGUGCCAGCGCAAGCUGGCCCGGCUGGCGCAAGCCAGACGGUUACCGGCGCAAGCCGGGAAACCCCAUAGCCACCCGUGGCGCGGAACGCGCCCCGGGUGAAACGGGCAAUCUCUGCGCGCAGCAAUACCAAGUAGGCCAACGUUGACGUGGUUCCGCGGAGUUGGCGGGUAGGUAGCACCGAGCCGUGGUGGCGACACCCGGCCCAGAGUAAUGGCGGUCACGCCGCCGCUCUUCGCAAGAAGGCCGGCGGUGCACAGAAUCCGGCUUAUCGGCGCGCUUCACAC